AUGUUAGACCAUAAAGAAGCUAUCAUAUCUCAUUUAAUUUGGGCUAGCCUCUUUCUAGGAUUCCAUACCUUGGGCCUUUAUGUUCAUAACGACGUCAUGCUUGCUUUUGGUACUCCAGAAAAGCAAAUCUUGAUCGAACCUAUAUUUGCCCAAUGGAUACAAUCUGCUCAUGGCAAGACGACAUAUGGGUUCGAUAUACUCUUAUCUUCAACGAAUGGCCCCGCUUUCAAUGCGGGUCGAAGCCUAUGGUUGCCCAGAUGGUUGAAUGCUGUUAAUGAGAAUAGUAAUUCGCUUUUCUUAACAAUAGGACCUGGGGAUUUCUUGGUUCAUCAUGCUAUUGCUCUAGGUUUGCAUACAACUACAUUGAUUUUAGUAAAGGGCGCUUUAGAUGCACGCGGUUCCAAAUUAAUGCCAGAUAAAACGGAUUUUGGAUAUAGUUUUCCUUGUGACGGCCCAGGGUGCGGCGGUACUUGUGAUAUUUCUGCUUGCGACGCAUUUUAUUUGGCAGUUUUCUGGAUGUUAAAUACCAUUGGGUGGGUUACUUUUUAUUGGCAUUGGAAACAUAUCACAUUAUGGCAGGGCAACGUUUCACAAUUUAAUGAAUCCUCCACUUAUUUGAUGGGAUGGUUAAGAGAUUACCUAUGGUUAAACUCUUCACAACUUAUCAAUGGAUAUAAUCCUUUUGGGAUGAAUAGUUUAUCGGUAUGGGCGUGGAUGUUCUUAUUUGGACAUCUUGUUUGGGCUACUCGAUUUAUGUUCUUAAUUUCCUGGCGGGGGUAUUGGCAGGAAUUAAUUGAGACUUUAGCAUGGGCUCAUGAACGCCCACCUUUAGCUAAUUUAAUUCGCUGGAGAGAUAAGCCCGUGGCUCUUUCCAUUGUGCAAGCAAGAUUGGUUGGAUUAGCUCACUUUUCCGUGGGUUAUAUAUUCACUUAUGCAGCUUUCUUGAUUGCCUCAACAUCAGGCAAGUUUGGUUAA
This 975-nucleotide ribosomal RNA is filed under the name Triticum aestivum (bread wheat). Its description in RNAcentral is "partial small subunit ribosomal RNA". The record is from RNAcentral. Lineage: Eukaryota; Viridiplantae; Streptophyta; Magnoliopsida; Poales; Poaceae.